Molecule: ribosomal RNA, 322 nt
Filed under: uncultured bacterium
Lineage: Bacteria
Description: bacterial SSU rRNA
Rfam family: Bacterial small subunit ribosomal RNA
Source: RNAcentral
GACGAACGCUGGCGGCGUGCCUAAUACAUGCAAGUCGAACGAACGGAUUGAGGAGCUUGCUCUUCAUGAAGUUAGUGGCGGACGGGUGAGUAACACGUGGGUGACCUGCCCUUCAGUGGGGGAUAACAUCCGGAAACGGGUGCUAAUACCGCAUAGUUUCUUUUUCCGCCUGGAAGAAGAAGGAAAGAUGGCCUUUGCGCUAUCACUGAGGGAUGGACCCGCGGCGUAUUAGCUAGUUGGUGAGGUAAUGGCUCACCAAGCCGACGAUCUUUAGCUGGUCUGAGAGGAUGAUCAGCCACACUGGGACUGAGACACGGCCCAG